RNA transcript from Dipodomys ordii (Ord's kangaroo rat), 459 nucleotides. It is a transcript of the gene named nuclear transport factor 2 pseudogene, with no coding region annotated. NCBI's taxonomy places the organism in Eukaryota, Metazoa, Chordata, Mammalia, Rodentia, Heteromyidae. The record is from RefSeq and is a predicted model, not a curated record. The transcript has a single exon.
GCGCUGGGUUGCCGCCGCCGCUGCCGCCAUCGUGCCAGCCCCUCAGGUCUCAGCGAGGCGGGGUGACGCUCCAGGAUGGGAGACAAGCCAAUUUGGGAGCAGAUUGGAUCCAGCUUCAUUCAACAUUACUACCAGUUAUUUGAUAAUGACAGAACCCAACUAGGCGCAAUUUAUAUUGAUGCAUCAUGCCUUACAUGGGAAGGACAGCAGUUCCAGGGGAAAGCUGCCAUUGUGGAGAAGUUGUCUAGCCGUCUGUUCCAGAAAAUCCAGCACAGUAUCACGGCACAGGAUCAUCAGCCCACGCCAGAUAGCUGUAUCAUCAGUAUGGUUGUGGGACAGCUCAAGGCUGAUGAAGACCCUAUCAUGGGGUUCCACCAGAUGUUUCUAUUAAAGAACAUCAAUGAUGCUUGGGUUUGCACCAAUGACAUGUUCAGGCUUGCCCUGCACAAUUUUGGCUGA